Triticum aestivum (bread wheat) is the source of this 133-nucleotide non-coding RNA. The record is from Rfam. NCBI's taxonomy places the organism in Eukaryota, Viridiplantae, Streptophyta, Magnoliopsida, Poales, Poaceae.
CUUAUACUCCCUCCGUCCCAAAAUUCUUGCCUUAGAUUUGUCUAAAUACGGAUGUAUCAAGUCACGUUUUAGUAUUAGAUACAUCCGUAUCUAGUCAAAUCUAGACAAGAAUUUUGGGACGGGGGAGUAUUUU